UCAGCGCUUAACGGGUGCCGUCGUCAUUCAUUCAUUCGACGGUACCUGUCGAGCGCUUCCC
Molecule: microRNA precursor, 61 nt
Filed under: Ornithorhynchus anatinus (platypus)
Lineage: Eukaryota; Metazoa; Chordata; Mammalia; Monotremata; Ornithorhynchidae
Description: Oan-Mir-7406_pre stem-loop
Source: RNAcentral